GUGGGGAAUCUUGCGCAAUGGGCGAAAGCCUGACGCAGCCAUGCCGCGUGAAUGAUGAAGGUCUUAGGAUUGUAAAAUUCUUUCACCGGGGACGAUAAUGACGGUACCCGGAGAAGAAGCUCCGGCUAACUUCGUGCCAGCAGCCGCGGUAAUACGAAGGGGGCUAGCGUUGCUCGGAAUUACUGGGCGUAAAGGGCGCGUAGGCGGACAGCUUAGUCAGAGGUGAAAGCCCAGGGCUCAACCUUGGAAUUGCCUUUGAUACUGGCUGUCUUGAGUUUGGGAGAGGUGAGUGGAACUCCGAGUGUAGAGGUGAAAUUCGUAGAUAUUCGGAAGAACACCAGUGGCGAAGGCGACUCACCGGCCCAAUACUGACGCUGAGGCGCGAAAGCGUGGGGAGCAAACAGGAUUAGAAACCCUGGUAGUCC
Molecule: ribosomal RNA, 425 nt
Filed under: uncultured bacterium
Lineage: Bacteria
Description: partial 16S ribosomal RNA
Rfam family: Bacterial small subunit ribosomal RNA
Source: RNAcentral